CAUACAGAAGGCUGAGCCCCACCCUCACUCAUGCAGGGGAAAGCUGCAGAGCUGUUAGUUCAUCCUAAAAACUGAAUAAUUGAAUGGAGUAUCUCUUCAGCAGGAUCCAGAUGACUGAAACUCUCUUUUCCAAUAGAGUGGAACUGGUGAUUGUAAUCUAUUCAGAAAUAAAAGGUACUUUAAUGACUCACUGGCCAGUUUCCUUCCCUGGUGAUGUUGAAAAGCCAUCCAGACAUGUUCCUAUACAACAUGCUCUAGGUGAUACAACUCAUGCAAGGAAGUUGAACCAAAUGAACCAGAUGUCCCUUCCAAGCUUAACUCUUCUUCGAUUCCGUGAGAAACACAGCCAGGCUGAACAAACCAAAUUCUCCCAGUACUCUUAAUACAGAAGGUGUUCCAUCCCUCUAUUGAACUUGGCGGCCCCCUGAACUUGUUUCAACAGCUGUGUUUUGCUGGAAGGUGCAACUCAGCCAGAGGGAGUGAGGUCAUGCACUUGCUAACUGCUGGCUGUCGUAUAUUGGAUCAAUACACAGUUUUUUGGAGCAGCAGCCCUCUCCUGAGGGAAGGAAGCAGAAUGGGAGGACUCAGAAGUCUCCACACCAAGAAGGGAAGCAGACACACUAUAAAGAGAAAGAGCCAAUACACAGGCAGUUUCCAGAGGUCUCCAGUGCACUGCUUGGAAUUAUUCAUUACUCAGCAAGACACUCAACAUUGCUGUACUCAGAGCAAGAGUGCGGUGAAAGAAAAGACCUACCUCUGAGAUGAAACAGUGAGCAGUGAGGACUUCUAAUACUCUUUUCAUUUUGAUUUGAUCUGACCAACUUGAUCUGAGCUUCUGUUCCACAGAAGUCAUUGUAUUGUAGUAUAUCCUUCAAAAAAAAUGUAAUGUCAGCAGUCCAGAGUCCUUUCAGUAUUUUUAGUAUCAACACUUUAAAGAAAAGGUAUUGAUAUACACAGUUUAAUUACAUAGUCAGGAUUUCUGAAUUUAUCUAUGCAUCCAAAAGGAAUGUUGGGGAAUCUCUUGAAAGUAUGAUUGAUUCUGUUAAGUAGAAAUCAAUAAGACAAUCUUUGGUCCCACACUCAGAAAGAUGAGAUUUAUUAGUAUCCUUUUUAGCUCAAUGAAUGUUUUUUGAUAUGUAUAAAUUAAAUCCUGCAUCCAUAUUUUUCAGGACGUAUUAUUUAAAUACCAGGUAAUAGGACCUACAGAUGGAUCUGCCUGAGGACAUUACCAGAUUAUAAAUACUUAAUUUUAAUAUUAAAGCUCUGGUAGAAUUUUCUCCCUUCUAAUUAAUUAAAAAUAAGUACAACUGAACAAGAGAGAGAGAAAAAGAAAGAGAACCAUUUAAGAAAUGUUAUUAUGACAUCCCAUCAAAACAGAAUUCUUUACAAGCUCAUUUUCUUUAACAUAUCCUUUUUCAAAGUGUAUCAGAAUUGUUAGGUAAUAUUCCCCAUUUGCUUCACUAUAUUCUUGUAAAAUAUUUCAUAAUAUUUAAAAGAAAAUAAUCAAAACUUGUGUUACUGAUUUCCUUUUAGAUAAUGGAAUAAUGAAGAGAUUGCAGGUUGUAGAGACCUCUCAGGAACAAUGUUAAUAAAUGUAAAAAAGGUUAAAUAUCUGGCAGAACAGGGACUUGCAAUUAAGUGUUGCAGAUUAUGUUUAAAAUAACAUUUGUUCUACAUCUAAUGUGAGCCAAGAGACUUACUAAAAAUUGCUUUCUAGAUUAUACUCUAUUCCCAGAAAAUUAAAAUAAUAAUCUUUCCCUUGAGUGUUUAGAGGAACUGUAUUGAAGAGAAGAUUUUUAACAUCUCUUUUUGAUUUUUUCCUUGUAAUAUUAUCAUUUGUGAUUGCUAGACAGAAGUAUAAAUUUUCAGUUUACAGGGCAAUCUCAUUCGUUCCAGAGAUCUAGUACAUGAACAUUUAUCUAAAUAUGGAAGUGAAUAAAUUCCAGAGAGAUUAACACCACUUUUUUUAUCCAACCAUCAAGAUAAUCAUAAAUGAAACCUGGACACAGAAUCCUUCACCUGGAAAUUCCAAGUCAAUCAAUUCAUGAAUGGUGGCUAUAAACUGGUAUCUGGUUACUGUCAAAUUGUCUUGACUUUGAUGCUUCGCUUGAGUCAGACCAAACGGUAAGAAAAUGAUUCUAUGAUUACAGUAUGUGCUUUCAGUAGCAUUUGUAUUUCAUUAAAGGUGACAUUACUACCCAAGUUCCAAAACAUUUGUCAUUUAUUAAAUUGACUUUAUAUCCCGGUGUAUUGGGUUUGUGUGGCUUUGAUUUUUGGCAACAGGGCAGUUACAGGGAUGGCUCCCAUGAGAAGUUACUAGAAGCUUCCUCAGUGUCCAGCACAGCCAAUCCCUGGUGGUUCCAUAGGCAGAAAUGUCAAUUAGACAUGGUGGCAAUGCCUCUGUGAUAACACAUUUUAGAAGAAAUCUAAACAAAAA
Molecule: long non-coding RNA, 2437 nt
Organism: Melospiza melodia melodia
Lineage: Eukaryota; Metazoa; Chordata; Aves; Passeriformes; Passerellidae
Exons: 5
Source: RefSeq, a predicted model, not a curated record